This 111-nucleotide non-coding RNA is filed under the name Clostridium acetobutylicum. RNAcentral describes it as "SAM-I sequence". It matches the Rfam family "SAM riboswitch aptamer (S box leader)". From Rfam's summary of the family: The SAM riboswitch is found upstream of a number of genes which code for proteins involved in methionine or cysteine biosynthesis in Gram-positive bacteria. The record is from RNAcentral. RNAcentral also lists the same sequence under 1 other name. Lineage: Bacteria; Bacillati; Bacillota; Clostridia; Eubacteriales; Clostridiaceae.
CUCUUAUCAAGAGAGGUGGAGGGAAAGGGCCCGUUGAAACCCGGCAACCGAUGUAUUAAUUUAAGUACAUAAUGGUGCCAAUUCCUGCAGAAUUAUUCUGCAAGAUAAGAG